UGGGAGUACUGCAGACUGCCCAAGGCCACCUCAGUGCUGUUCAUCUGUGAAUAUUCUCCGGUUCAGCUCUGUGUAAGAAAAGAGACCUUGCUAAUGGGAGUGAAGAGGCAACAAGUAUGCAGUGCUCUCAUGUUGACUGAGCCUAACAUUCCUCUGAGAAGCAUGCUCCUACUUCAGGAUGUAUGAGCUCAUAGGAACCAAACGAAUAAGACAUUGUAUAAAGAGCUGAGGUCUGCUGUCUCAUCGUCACUUGCUACAGCUGACAAAAUGCUUUCAACAAGAUUGAAAAUCAUCGCCUUCCUGGCUGCAAGUUGGUGUUGGACAUCUGAUGAAAAAGGAGGCCUUGCCAUUGUGAGGGCCAGUUUCAGACGUUUCGACCAGAACACCGUCACUGUAACCCCUUCAGAAAUGACCCACUCUGCAAGUUAAGACGCUGAAGACAGCAUGAGAAGCUUGAGGUUUGCUUCUGACAACAGCAUCCCAGAGAGGAGCAGCGACUUCAUAAUUGGUUCCAUCACAUUCAUCCACUGGCUUCUUCCAAACACAUGUCAACAAAGAUGUGAUGGAAUGAAUUAAUAAAAGAGUGCAUCUAA
Molecule: long non-coding RNA, 593 nt
Organism: Epinephelus lanceolatus (giant grouper)
Lineage: Eukaryota; Metazoa; Chordata; Actinopteri; Perciformes; Serranidae
Source: RefSeq, a predicted model, not a curated record